Molecule: transfer RNA, 67 nt
Filed under: Marmota monax (woodchuck)
Lineage: Eukaryota; Metazoa; Chordata; Mammalia; Rodentia; Sciuridae
Description: tRNA.Val
Source: RNAcentral
GGGGGUCUAGCUUAGUGGUAGAGUGCUUGCCUAACAUGCAUGAGGCACUUCAUUCAAUCCCCCCUCA